UACGAAGGGGGCUAGCGUUGUUCGGAAUUACUGGGCGUAAAGCGCGCGCAGGCGGUCUUUCAAGUCAGUGGUGAAAGCCCGGAGCUCAACUCCGGAAAUGCCAUUGAAACUGUGAGACUUGAGGAUGAGAGAGGUGAGUGGAAUUCCCAGUGUAGAGGUGAAAUUCGUAGAUAUUGGGAAGAACACCGGUGGCGAAGGCGGCUCACUGGCUCAUUUCUGACGCUCAGGCGCGACAGCGUGGGGAGCAAACAGG
RNAcentral lists this ribosomal RNA (253 nucleotides) under uncultured bacterium. Its description in RNAcentral is "partial 16S ribosomal RNA". It matches the Rfam family "Bacterial small subunit ribosomal RNA", at positions 524 to 776 of the family's 1533-position model. The record is from RNAcentral.